UACAGAGGUCCCAAGCGUUGUUCGGAGUUACUGGGCGUAAAGAGUGCGUAGGCGGUUUUCUAAGUUUGGUGUGAAAUCUCCCGGCUCAACUGGGAGGGUGCGCCGAAGACUGGAAGGCUUGAGUAUGGGAGAGGUAAGCGGAAUUCCUGGUGUAGCGGUGAAAUGCGUAGAUAUCAGGAGGAACACCUGCGGUGUAGACGGCUUACUGGACCAUAACUGACGCUGAGGCACGAAAGCGUGGGUAGCAAACAGG
RNAcentral lists this ribosomal RNA (253 nucleotides) under uncultured bacterium. Its description in RNAcentral is "partial 16S ribosomal RNA". It matches the Rfam family "Bacterial small subunit ribosomal RNA", at positions 524 to 776 of the family's 1533-position model. The record is from RNAcentral.